GACAGAGGCCUCAAGCGCUAGGCGGAAUCACUGGGCUUAAAGCGUGUGUAGGCGGAUCGUUAAGUGUCUUGUGAAAUCCCACGGCUCACCCGUGGAACUGCUGGGCAUACUGGCGAUCUUGGGCCAACUAGGGGCAACUGGAACAAGCGGUGGAGCGGUGAAAUGCGUAGAUAUCGCUUGGAACGCCAAAGGUGAAAACAGGUUGCUGGGGUUGUGCCGACGCUGAGACACGAAAGCCAGGGGAGCAAACGGG
RNAcentral lists this ribosomal RNA (253 nucleotides) under uncultured bacterium. RNAcentral's name for it is "partial 16S ribosomal RNA". It matches the Rfam family "Bacterial small subunit ribosomal RNA", at positions 524 to 776 of the family's 1533-position model. The record is from RNAcentral.